RNAcentral lists this ribosomal RNA (588 nucleotides) under uncultured bacterium. RNAcentral's name for it is "partial 16S ribosomal RNA". It matches the Rfam family "Bacterial small subunit ribosomal RNA", at positions 355 to 1376 of the family's 1533-position model. The record is from RNAcentral.
UGGGGAAUUUUGGACAAUGGGCGCAAGCCUGAUCCAGCCAUGCCGCGUGCGGGAAGAAGGCCUUCGGGUUGUAAACCGCUUUUGUCAGGGAAGAAAUCUUCUGAGUUAAUACCUCGGGAGGAUGACGGUACCUGAAGAAUAAGCACCGGCUAACUACGUGCCAGCAGCCGCGGUAAUACGUAGGGUGCAAGCGUUAAUCGGAAUUACUGGGCGUAAAGCGUGCGCAGGCGGUUUUGUAAGACAGAGGUGAAAUCCCCGGGCUCAACCUGGGAACUGCCUUUGUGACUGCAAGGCUUGAGUGCGGCAGAGGGGGAUGGAAUUCCGCGUGUAGCAGUGAAAUGCGUAGAUAUGCGGAGGAACACCGAUGGCGAAGGCAAUCCCCUGGGCCUGCACUGACGCUCAUGCACGAAAGCGUGGGGAGCAAACAGGAUUAGAUACCCUGGUAGUCCACGCCCUAAACGAUGUCAACUGGUUGUUGGGAAGGUUCCUUCUCAGUAACGUAGCUAACGCGUGAAGUUGACCGCCGGGGGAGUACGGCCGCAAGGGUUGAAACUCAAAGGAAAUUGACGGGGUCAUAGCUGUUUCCUG